AGCGAACGCUGGCGGCAGGCCUAACACAUGCAAGUCGAACGAACCUUUCGGGGUUAGUGGCGGACGGGUGAGUAACACGUGGGAACGUGCCUUUAGGUUCGGAAUAACUCAGGGGAACUUGUGCUAAUACCGAAUGUGCCCUUCGGGGGAAAGAUUUAUCGCCUUUAGAGCGGCCCGCGUCUGAUUAGCUAGUUGGUUGAGGUAAUGGCUCACCAAGGCGACGAUCAGUAGCUGGUCUGAGAGGAUGAUCAGCCACAUUGGGACUGAGACACGGCCCAAACUCCUACGGGAGGCAGCAGUGGGGAAUCUUGCGCAAUGGGCGAAAGCCUGACGCAGCCAUGCCGCGUGAAUGAUGAAGGUCUUAGGAUUGUAAAAUUCUUUCACCGGGGACGAUAAUGACGGUACCCGGAGAAGAAGCCCCGGCUAACUUCGUG
Molecule: ribosomal RNA, 434 nt
Filed under: uncultured bacterium
Lineage: Bacteria
Description: partial 16S ribosomal RNA
Rfam family: Bacterial small subunit ribosomal RNA
Source: RNAcentral